RNAcentral lists this ribosomal RNA (492 nucleotides) under uncultured bacterium. Its description in RNAcentral is "partial 16S ribosomal RNA". It matches the Rfam family "Bacterial small subunit ribosomal RNA", at positions 29 to 507 of the family's 1533-position model. The record is from RNAcentral.
AGUGAACGCUGGCGGUAGGCCUAACACAUGCAAGUCGAACGGCAGCACAGUAAGAGCUUGCUCUUACGGGUGGCGAGUGGCGGACGGGUGAGGAAUACAUCGGAAUCUACUUUUUCGUGGGGGAUAACGUAGGGAAACUUACGCUAAUACCGCAUACGACCUACGGGUGAAAGCAGGGGAUCUUCGGACCUUGCGCGACUGAAUGAGCCGAUGUCGGAUUAGCUAGUUGGCGGGGUAAAGGCCCACCAAGGCGACGAUCCGUAGCUGGUCUGAGAGGAUGAUCAGGCACACUGGAACUGAGACACGGUCCAGACUCCUACGGGAGGCAGCAGUGGGGAAUAUUGGACAAUGGGCGCAAGCCUGAUCCAGCCAUACCGCGUGGGUGAAGAAGGCCUUCGGGUUGUAAAGCCCUUUUGUUGGGAAAGAAAAGCAGCAGGUUAAUACCCCGCUGUUCUGACGGUACCCAAAGAAUAAGCACCGGCUAACUUCGUG